CAGCAGCCGCGGUAAUACGAAGGGUGCAAGCGUUAAUCGGAAUUACUGGGCGUAAAGGGUGCGUAGGCGGUUGUUUAAGUCUGUUGUGAAAGCCCUGGGCUCAACCUGGGAAUUGCAGUGGAUACUGGGUCACUAGAGUGUGGUAGAGGAUAGUGGAAUUUCCGGUGUAGCAGUGAAAUGCGUAGAGAUCGGAAGGAACAUCUGUGGCGAAGGCGACUAUCUGGGCCAACACUGACACCGAGGCACGAAAGCGUGGGGAGCAAACAGGAUUAGAUACCCGCGUAGUCCCUGUCUCUUAUAU
Molecule: ribosomal RNA, 301 nt
Filed under: uncultured bacterium
Lineage: Bacteria
Description: partial 16S ribosomal RNA
Rfam family: Bacterial small subunit ribosomal RNA
Source: RNAcentral